This 515-nucleotide ribosomal RNA is filed under the name uncultured bacterium. RNAcentral's name for it is "bacterial SSU rRNA". It matches the Rfam family "Bacterial small subunit ribosomal RNA", at positions 32 to 523 of the family's 1533-position model. The record is from RNAcentral.
AAUCAACGCUGGCGGCGUGCCUAACACAUGCAAGUCGAACGCGAAAGCCCCUUCGGGGGCAAGUAGAGUGGCGUCCGGGUGAGUAACACGUGGGUAAUCUACCUCCGGGUGGGGAAUAACUCGCCGAAAGGCGGGCUAAUACCGCAUAAUGCAGCGGCACCGAAUGGUGAUUAGUUGUUAAAGCGGGGGACCUUAGGGCCUCGCGUCUGGAGAGGAGCCUGCGGCAGAUUAGCUUGUUGGUAGGGAAUGGCCUACCAAGGCUGCGAUCUGUAGCUGGUCUGAGAGGACGGCCAGCCACACUGGCACUGACACACGGGCCAGACUCCUACGGGAGGCAGCAGUGGGGAAUUUUGGGCAAUGGGCGAAAGCCUGACCCAGCAACGCCGCGUGAAGGAGGAAAUCCUUCGGGAUGUAAACUUCACAAGCAAGGGAAGAGCGCGCAGGGUCGAAUAAACUCUGCGUCCGACGGUACCUUGCGUAAGCCACGGCUAACUACGUGCCAGCCGCCGCGGUAA